RNAcentral lists this long non-coding RNA (552 nucleotides) under Homo sapiens (human). Its description in RNAcentral is "HSALNT0199105". The record is from RNAcentral. Lineage: Eukaryota; Metazoa; Chordata; Mammalia; Primates; Hominidae.
GCGGCCGCAGACUCCCACGGACGGCCCAGCACCCGAGCGCGCGGGCCGAGCUGCCCCAGACCCGGCGCAGCGCCUCGGCGAGGCCGUCUGCGAAGUCCGGGCCGCCACUCGGGACCGCGGCCCGAGCCAGAGGAGAGACUUCGGAGAAGAGGGAAGAGGACGCGGGGUGGGAAACGCCGGGGCCGCAGGAUGCUCAGGACCCAGUCAGCGGCGGGAUCAAGAAAAACAGGCAGGGUUUCAAUGUCAACCAAGGCAAUUAGGGAGGUUAACAAACAGCCUUCAAAACAAAACACACAGAAAAUACAUCCCAGAGGAUGUUGCGAAUCAUCCGCUCAAUAGUUCUUGUUCUUCAUCGCAUAAUUUUUCGAGUUGAAAAUUAUUAUUAUUUUCUUUGCAAUAAGUUGAGGAUUGGAAAGCUCUGGAUGCCAGUUCUGGUUCUUCCCUUACUUAACUAGCCGUUUGACCUCCACAAACCUCUGUUUACUCAUCGUAAAGGAAAGGGAUGGACCAAAUGGUUCAUAAUGUCUCUCCCAAUUCUAGGAAUUCCACGCU